CGUUAUCUUGAUGGUCUGGUUAAAAACGAUAAGUAAGUUGUUAAUAACCUGAUCUUAAUUGUUUGAGGCGACUGUUUUUCAGUCGCCUUUUUUA
This 94-nucleotide small RNA is filed under the name Pantoea ananatis. Its description in RNAcentral is "MicF RNA". The record is from RNAcentral. Lineage: Bacteria; Pseudomonadati; Pseudomonadota; Gammaproteobacteria; Enterobacterales; Erwiniaceae.